UUAGACGAAACCAGAAAUUUCCGACGGUUAGCACGAUCUCCUGGAAGAACGACUGCCAGGGCUCACGAUUGGAGACUGAAGACGGACGUGGGACAUGAUCGGAGUAGAGAUGGCUUCAUCACUAUUCACCCCACUCUCCAUUUACGGUUCAUAUAAAAGGAGAAAAGGGAAAGAGGAGCAGAGCAAAAUCAAACCCAGAAAGAGGAAAAAAUUAGUAUCAAAAUCGGUAUUGUGUGCAGAGCGGAUUCUCAGUCAAACCCAAAAGGCAGAGUAAAAUAGGUAUCAACUCAGGCGACAGUGUUGCAGAUUCAGUGGAGGUCAGACUUGAUAAUUGUUUCCAGAUUUCGAACAAAUCUCUCGCCACCAAUUCUAUUUGGGUUUAAUAAAUCAAGCUUAAUGGCUUCAAAGAGUUUGGAGGUACUUUACAUACUUGGGUAGUUUCUAUAUAUCUUGAAGGAAUCAGAAAAUUUUGGUUAUAGGUAUGGUUUGGUGAUUUUAUUGAUUCUUGGUUUCACGUUUUCAAAUAAUCAUAGUAACCAAUUGCUGCUCAUGAACUGUUCGUUCAAUAGGGAUUUUGUUUCUUUUUUCUUUUCUUUUUUUGUUACCGCUUGGUUUUCUUUCAAUUGUACGUUGCAGGUAAUAUUUCUGAACAUUGUGAGAAAAUGAUGUCUACUAAUGU
Rosa rugosa (rugosa rose) is the source of this 679-nucleotide long non-coding RNA. RefSeq lists it as uncharacterized. NCBI's taxonomy places the organism in Eukaryota, Viridiplantae, Streptophyta, Magnoliopsida, Rosales, Rosaceae. The transcript has 3 exons. The record is from RefSeq and is a predicted model, not a curated record.